GUGUUUGCUUCAGCAACACAUAUACUAAAACUGGAAUGAUACAGAGGAGAUUAGCAUGGCCCCUGCACAAGGAUGAUAUGCAAAUUCGUGAAGCGUUCUAUAAUUUU
This is a small nuclear RNA of Dipodomys ordii (Ord's kangaroo rat), 107 nucleotides long. NCBI's taxonomy places the organism in Eukaryota, Metazoa, Chordata, Mammalia, Rodentia, Heteromyidae. The record is from Ensembl.